UUGCAUACCUGAGGUGUCGAGCUUCCCAAAUGAGUCUUUGAUCUUCAAAUUGAAUCUUCUUUCCAAAAACUUCGCUUUUAACUCUUCAAGACUCCAUUCGACUUUACGAAAUUCACCAACUUAGAAAAUCCUUAACAAUCUCCCCCCCUUUGGCGAUUUCGUGACAAAACAUAUUACAAUACUCAAACAAACCUCAGAAACAGUAAAAAGAAAGAAGAUUAUCGCAAUCAUCAAACGACAAUCUCCAGCAUAAUCGAUCCAAUAAAAUAAAAUUACAUUUUUCUCACAAUCCUAAUACAAACUCUAUGACUUAGACAUGGAGUCUUGGAGUCUUGAAAGUUCCUGCAAAAAUAUUCUCAAAGUACAAUCAAGAUUCAAAAGUUUUCAUUAAAGAUCAAACAUAAACAGUCAUACAGUCAGUCAUACAGUCAAGUUGUUAGAAAACCAAAAAUCUAAAAACAUCAUCUAACCAAAAAUCUAAAAAGCAAGCAUCAUCAUCAUCUCCCUUUUUUUGUCAAGAAAACGUCGAAACGACAAAAAGAGGAACCCAAA
Molecule: long non-coding RNA, 552 nt
Filed under: Ananas comosus (pineapple)
Lineage: Eukaryota; Viridiplantae; Streptophyta; Magnoliopsida; Poales; Bromeliaceae
Description: long non-coding RNA (ACOM_LNC032671)
Source: RNAcentral